AUGGUGGGUGCAGAUAGGAGUGACUGCUUCAGGCAUUUUUAUAACAGAAUAAAAGAAAAACUGAAGGGAUGGAUGGAGAAACAAUUGUCUACUGAGGGGAAAGAGAUAUUACUUAAAUCUAUAGCCCAUGCCAUCCCAGUCUUUGUGAUGUCUGUUUUCAGCCUGCCCAAGGGCCUAUGCAAAGAGAUAACUGAUUUGAUAGCACAAUUUUGGUGGGGGGAUGAUGAGUAACACAAAAGAAUGCACUGGUAUACAUGGUGGAAGCUUUGCUACCCAAAAAGUGAGGCGGGUAUGGGGUUCAGAGAUCUCUAUUCUUUUAAUCUUGCCAUGCUCUCAAAGCAAGUUUGGCGGUUGAUCACUAACCCGGAUUCCCUAUGUGCAAGAGUAUUGAAAGAUAAAUACUUCCCCAAUGAAAGUUUAUUACAAGCUACCCUGAAGAGUGGUGCUUCGUUUACGUGGCAGAGCAUUAUGAAAGGUCUUGAAACAUUUAAGUUGGGGUAUAUUUGGAGGGUUGGUACCGGUGAGAACAUUAACAUAUGGAGCGACCCCUGGAUACCGUCUAGUCUGGACAGGACAGUUUUAUCGAACCGGGGGCAAACACUGAUAUCACAAGUUCAUGAUCUAAUUGACCCUAUGACUGGUUUUUGGGACGAGGAACUGAUCAGAUCUAUAUUCAUAUCGGUUGAUGUAGACAGGAUCUUGCAAAUUCCCCUCAACUAUGGGGCUUUCGAGGACUUUAUCGCAUGCCACCCGGAUCAUUAA
This 762-nucleotide ribosomal RNA is filed under the name Triticum aestivum (bread wheat). RNAcentral describes it as "partial small subunit ribosomal RNA". The record is from RNAcentral. Lineage: Eukaryota; Viridiplantae; Streptophyta; Magnoliopsida; Poales; Poaceae.